CGGGACAACAUCUUCCGAAAUGUGGAGGUUCUGAUUUAUGUCUUUGAUGUGGAGAGCCGCGAACUGGAAAAGGACAUGCACUAUUACCAAUCAUGCCUGGAGGCCAUUCUGCAGAAUUCUCCAGAUGCCAAAAUAUUUUGCUUGGUACACAAAAUGGAUCUGGUACAGGAGGAUCAACGGGACCUGAUUUUUAAAGAGCGAGAAGAAGAUUUGAGGCGUUUGUCUCGCCCAUUGGAAUGUUCUUGUUUCCGAACAUCUAUCUGGGAUGAAACCCUCUAUAAGAACAGGUAACCGUGAAUAAGGAUGGACAUGACGCACUGAUAAGAACCAACUGCGGUGUGAAGGAUGGCAAUACAUAACACGACCAAAGACAAUUGGCUAAUCACAACACUGCUGUGAGUGACAAUGUCUCUGCUGUGGUUAGCUUUGGUGCCUUCUCCAAGGUAAAUUCAGCAGUGACAUUAACACCGACCUGGGAACUUGGAACCUGAACCCUCAUGCCUAAGUAAUAAAACUAAUUGGAACAGAGACAUGGCACUUCUGUCUCUUACAUCAAUGUUGCAUAGAGCUAACUUAA
RNAcentral lists this long non-coding RNA (577 nucleotides) under Homo sapiens (human). RNAcentral's name for it is "HSALNT0282924". The record is from RNAcentral. Lineage: Eukaryota; Metazoa; Chordata; Mammalia; Primates; Hominidae.